CGGGUGAGUAACACGUGGAUAAUCUACCCUGGAGUGGGGAAUAACGCUGGGAAACCGGCGCUAAUACCGCAUAAUCCCGAGAGGGGAAAGCGUCUCAUGAAAGUGAGGGGCGUCAGAAGAGGAGUCCGCGGCUGAUUAGCUAGUUGGUGAGGUAAGAGCUCACCAAGGCAACGAUCAGUAGCCGGCCUGAGAGGGCACACGGCCACACUGGCACUGAAACACGGGCCAG
Molecule: ribosomal RNA, 229 nt
Filed under: uncultured bacterium
Lineage: Bacteria
Description: partial 16S ribosomal RNA
Rfam family: Bacterial small subunit ribosomal RNA
Source: RNAcentral